Molecule: ribosomal RNA, 400 nt
Filed under: uncultured bacterium
Lineage: Bacteria
Description: bacterial SSU rRNA
Rfam family: Bacterial small subunit ribosomal RNA
Source: RNAcentral
UGAGGAAUAUUGGUCAAUGGGCGCGAGCCUGAACCAGCCAAGUAGCGUGGAGGACGACGGCCCUACGGGUUGUAAACUCCUUUUAUAAGGGGAUAAAGUUGGCCAUGGAUGGCCAUUUGCAGGUACCUUAUGAAUAAGCAUCGGCUAAUUCCGUGCCAGCAGCCGCGGUAAUACGGAAGAUGCGAGCGUUAUCCGGAUUUAUUGGGUUUAAAGGGAGCGUAGGCGGGCAGUCAAGUCAGCGGUCAAAUGGCGCGGCUCAACCGCGUUCCGCCGUUGAAACUGGCAGCCUUGAGUAUGCACAGGGUACAUGGAAUUCGUGGUGUAGCGGUGAAAUGCUUAGAUAUCACGAGGAACUCCGAUCGCGCAGGCAUUGUACCGGGGCAUUACUGACGCUGAGGCU